GUAGUCAUAUGCUUGUCUUAAAGAUUAAGCCAUGCAUGUCUAAGUAUAAGCAAUUAUACAGCGAAACUGCGAAUGGCUCAUUAAAUCAGUUAUCGUUUAUUUGAUAGUACCUUACUACAUGGAUAACCGUGGUAAUUCUAGAGCUAAUACAUGCUGAAAACCCCGACUUCGGAAGGGGUGUAUUUAUUAGAUUAAAAACCAAUGCCCUCCGGGGCUCACUGGUGAUUCAUGAUAACUUCUCGAAUCGCACGGCCUUGCGCCGGCGAUGGUUCAUUCAAAUUUCUGCCCUAUCAACUUUCGACGGCUGGGUCUUGGCCAGCCGUGGUGACAACGGGUAACGGAGGGUUAGGGCUCGACCCCGGAGAAAACGCCUGAGAAACGGCGUUUACAUCCAAGGAAGGCAGCAGGCGCGCAAAUUACCCAAUGCCGACACGGCGAGGUAGUGACGAGAAAUACUGAUACAGGGCUCUUUUGGGUCUUGUAAUUGGAAUGAGUACAAUUUAAAUCUCUUAACGAGGAACAAUUGGAGGGCAAGUCUGGUGCCAGCAGCCGCGGUAAUUCCAGCUCCAAUAGCGUAUAU
This 580-nucleotide ribosomal RNA is filed under the name Magnaporthiopsis cynodontis. RNAcentral describes it as "SSU rRNA". It matches the Rfam family "Eukaryotic small subunit ribosomal RNA", at positions 20 to 604 of the family's 1831-position model. The record is from RNAcentral. Lineage: Eukaryota; Fungi; Ascomycota; Sordariomycetes; Magnaporthales; Magnaporthaceae.